RNAcentral lists this ribosomal RNA (500 nucleotides) under uncultured bacterium. Its description in RNAcentral is "partial 16S ribosomal RNA". It matches the Rfam family "Bacterial small subunit ribosomal RNA", at positions 30 to 523 of the family's 1533-position model. The record is from RNAcentral.
AUUGAACGCUGGCGGAAUGCUUUACACAUGCAAGUCGAACGGCAGCACGGACUUCGGUCUGGUGGCGAGUGGCGAACGGGUGAGUAAUGUAUCGGAACGUGCCCAGUCGUGGGGGAUAACGUAGUGAAAAUUACGCUAAUACCGCAUACGAUCUAUGGAUGAAAGCGGGGGAUCGCAAGACCUCGCGCGAUUGGAGCGGCCGAUAUCAGAUUAGGUAGUUGGUGGGGUAAAGGCCCACCAAGCCAACGAUCUGUAGCUGGUCUGAGAGGACGAGCAGCCACACUGGAACUGAGACACGGUCCAGACUCCUACGGGAGGCAGCAGUGGGGAAUUUUGGACAAUGGGCGAAAGCCUGAUUCAGCCAUUCCGCGUGCAGGAUGAAGGCCCUCGGGUCGUAAACUGCUUUUGUACAGAACGAAAAGGUUUCUACUAAUACUAGGAGCUCAUGACGGUACUGUAAGAAUGAGCACCGGCUAACUACGUGCCAGCAGCCGCGGUAA